Molecule: long non-coding RNA, 234 nt
Organism: Pimephales promelas (fathead minnow)
Lineage: Eukaryota; Metazoa; Chordata; Actinopteri; Cypriniformes; Leuciscidae
Source: RefSeq, a predicted model, not a curated record
GGACCCUCUCCUCUGCAGGGCCACAUCCCACGUUAACCCUGAGGAGACCAGAGAGACACAAUCACGGAAAUGAAGAUAUAGACAGUGCUUGCGAUUGGAUUCCAUCUCUGCUUCGUUCUUGCCGUAUCAUAACAGAAGACAAGACGCAUGGUGGUGAUUUCUCCGCUCUUUAAUCACCUUGGAGAUGAGUUCGUCGUGGUUGGCGAGGUGUGCUCUGCAGUGGAUGCAGCUGUA